CAGCAGCCGCGGUAAUACGUAGGGUGCGAGCGUUAAUCGGAUUUACUGGGCGUAAAGCGUGCGCAGGCGGCCCGUUAAGACAGGUGUGAAAUCCCUGGGCUCAACCUAGGAAUUGCGCUUGUGACUGGCGGGCUCGAGUACGGUAGAGGGGGGUGGAAUUCCUGGUGUAGCAGUGAAAUGCGUAGAGAUCAGGAGGAACACCGAUGGCGAAGGCAGCCCCCUGGGCCUGUACUGACGCUCAUGCACGAAAGCGUGGGGAGCAAACAGGAUUAGAUACCCUGGUAGUCCACGCCCUAAACGAUGGGUACUAGCCGUUUGGUGCGCGAUAGCGCUGAGUGGCGAAGCUAACGCGAGAAGUACCCCGCCUGGGGAGUACGGCCGCAAGGUUGAAACUUAAAGGAAUUGGCGGG
Molecule: ribosomal RNA, 410 nt
Filed under: uncultured microorganism
Description: bacterial SSU rRNA
Rfam family: Bacterial small subunit ribosomal RNA
Source: RNAcentral